RNAcentral lists this long non-coding RNA (5760 nucleotides) under Marmota monax (woodchuck). Lineage: Eukaryota; Metazoa; Chordata; Mammalia; Rodentia; Sciuridae. The record is from RNAcentral.
UUAAGACACUGCAACAUGUUAUACAAGUUUAUUAAGGGAAGAUUAUGGCCAUGUGGCAAAACCAGUAGCUGUUUGACAAAUACAGUGAAUUUACAAAACAGAUUAUUGCAGUGAAGUUUUGAAUUUUUAGUUCAGUCAGCAGUUGUAAUAAUUCAGAAAUAAAAGUCAGGUUCUGCCAAGGAAGGCAAAGCCUCCAGACGUUGGUGACAGGGGUGGGGCUCAUCUUGGGACUCUUGCUUUUUGGGGAGGGAGGCGGCAGGGUCUGGACCCGUUUUGGCAGUGGCGUUCUCACGGCUACCUCAUGAAUUACUCAAGUGUUGGAGCGGAGAUGAGCAGCUCCGAGGUUUGGGUUCACUCUGCUGAAAGGCGGAGGAGGUAGGCCAUGCAUACCGCAGGCUCUGGGGCAGGGAGGGGACAGACUGCACAUCCUCUUUGACAUGCUGCAUUUGAGGCAUCUAUUGACAUCCAAGAUGCUGAGUGACAGUCCUAGGAGAGCUUUCGGAGCCUCCCAGGCAGAGUCCUGGCCUCAGACAGGGAGCAGCUCCUGGCAGACAGGCCGGGCUUGGCUCGCUCACUGAAGAGACAUGGUGACAACCUGGCUGCUUCUCACAGCGGCUGGUAUCAGGUUUUAUCCCCAAAGCCAUAUGUGACGCAUACAGUGACCUUAGAUUUCGGUUUUCAUGGAGUAUGUACAGUGACCUCGUAACUGUAAGGAGUGUCUUCUCUCUGCUGGGAAUAAAUCCACAUUCUAUAUUGACCAUCAGCUAUAGGUUGUAUCUCAAAGGCCUCCAUUUUACUUACUGUUUUAUUUGGUCAGACUUUUAUGACACCACAUUCAAAGAAAAAAUGCUAAAGGAAAAAUAUGUAUAAUUCUAUCACCCUAUUACAAUCACAUUGCUUUUCUCCAUAUUCCUGUACAUUCCCUUCCAAUUUUAAAUAAAGGCACUGAUUAGAACAUGUUUACCUUUAGGACUGUCUACACUGGUAAGCCAAGGAGGCCUUUGGAGCAGUUUAUCAGGAUCUAGGACAUAGUGUUAGAACCAUUGGAGUGCAGAUAAUUGGAAAUGAAUUCCAUUGAAACACUACUCUAUUUUAGUAAUAUUCCAAAAUAGAUGUCUUGAGAUUUACGUCUACAAAUAAUAGCACCUAUUCAUGCGGGAUUUAUGUUUAUGUGCUUGGGUGGUUUUGCUUUGUUUUGUUUUUAUUCUUUUCCUGCUCUCUAGACUACCAAAUACUAUAUACAACACUAUAUAUAUAUACUAGAUAUAUACUGGAUGUAUACUAUAUACUACACACAUAUGCGUGCACACACACACACACACACACUCAUGUUUCAUUUCUGAUUUUAUGUUUACAGCAAAUACAGAUAAAAUAAAUCCCUUUAAAGUAACCCAGGAAAUACUGAAGCUUUCAGCAGCUAAUCAAUCUUCACUCCCCUGCAAACUCCUAAUGCCACUCCAACCAGAUAAGAGCCUCAGAUAAGUUGUACCUUCCUCUAUAAUAUUUUUAAAAUUAAAUCUACCUAUGAAAAGCUAGCUCCUAUGAAACAACAACAGCCUAUGGUUACCUUAGAUACAGGUGGGCUGUCACAGAGAUGAUUGAUAACAAUAAACGUGGACAAACCCCAGAACUUAGAAUGUGAGGCACAGACAGGCCUCCUCCAACAACGCGUGCACUGGCCUGAGGCACAGCACCGGGACCUGGGAAUGUCCUUGAUUAUGCACCCCAGUGAUAAAAGUGUUUUAAGUUGUCCCCCCAUUUAACAUACAUAUUUAUUUAUAGUACUUUUACAAUUGUAACAAUGUUACAUAUUUCACAAAAUAUACAAAACAGAAACCAGAUGUAGAUCAAUGUAAACAGCAUCCUGAUCAUCUCAUCCUGAGGCCAGUCAAUGUCUUUGUCCCUGGAUGAAUGCAGCUCACUUGGGAGACCCCCAAACAUGGCGGUGGGUGCUGUGGGAGCUUCUCAGGCUGCUCCCCUGUCUCAGUGGCCCCUGCUCUCAGCUCCAAGCUGCCACCUGCCCUGCGAAACACAAAACCACUGCAGUCAGUUGUUGUCAUAGCAACUGGAAAGCGACCACCCCAAGUGGCCAGUUUCAGAUUGGAGACAGGGAUGUGUUGUCAUGUCACUUUAAAGAAAUGCAAGGGCCCAACAGCCAGGCUCCCUACCAGGUCCGGACAGGUUCAGAAUAUACCCAGCUUUGUAGGCCCCAGAGGUUUGCAUGAGUAUCCGAAGUCCCUCCCCGCCACCAGCAGCAUGAGAGCUGCCCCUCCUGGAAGCAGCCCUUGCCUGCUCUCAGCCAGCGGCCAGCAGGUUCUCUCUUAGGCAGGCAUUUCCCUGGUCUUCUGCCGGCCAGGGGCAGUCUGAGGGCCGCCUGCACACGGGUGCAGACCACCUGAGUUCUUGUUUCCUAUCACAGGCUCCUCACAGAGAACUUCCGCUUAUUGCUCAAGUGUUUCACCUGAAUGUGCCUCCUACAUCCCUUCAGUUCAAGGAAGACUGCUGUCACCUGGGUGGACAGCCAAGAACACAGCCGUGGGUGUCCUGAUGGACAGGUAGACUGACAGAUGGACAAGGAUGGGGAAUGAGAUCCGGGCUUCCACUUUGUGAGAGGAGCACGUGCUCCAAGACAUCACACCCUGGCCAAGACGGCAUCUUGUUGUACUAUUUAUUUUGUCCAUUUUAGUGACUGGGGUGGAUCUGACAAGCUGGGCAGAAAGUUGUGCCAGAACAAAGCGAAAGACCCUAAGUGUGAACUGUCACUCGUGGCUGGGUUCCUAUGUCAAGCAAUAGAGUCACUCUUCAAAUCUCUUCAAGAGGAAGAGCAGCCCAGGCCUGAGCAGGGAUUGUUUCCACUUGAACGUGAAAGCUGACCUUUUAUUGCCGUCAGCAGUCCUGGCAUUACAACCAGGUUUCACAAAGCAGUGGGCAUUCCAACUCACUGCCCGUUGUGAAAUCUGUGAUAAUAACCAUGAGGCACGUACCUGGGACACACUGUCAUUUUAGCUUUGACCUCUUGCUUUCUACCCAAUAGAACAUUUCAAACAGUCAUUAUUGACAGCUUAAAUGUUAACAGCAUUUCAGUGAGAAUUUUGUAUCUUUUUUUUUAACUAAAGCCUUUAGCCAGUUUUCACCAUCUUCAAAAUUACAGAUCCAAUCAGACAAUUAUUUAAGUAAAGAAGACUUUUAGAAAAUUAAAGUUAAGAAAACUAAACUUGACUCACUCUGUUGGCACAUAAGGGCAGUCUGGGUAGUUAGUUUAGCACACACAGAAAUGCAUUCCGUGCUGCUUAGUAGGCGCCUCGAGUGUGUUUACAUGCACUGUUCAUGCUGCAGGCUGUGAAGUUUAAUGGUCAUACGUGUUCACUUUCUCUUCCUACUCACACUGAGAAGAAAGAUAUGGAGUGGUACUUUUGUAUCUUUGAAGAUUAAAAAAUAAGUGUCGACUUCCUGGACGUUUCCUGUUUGAACAGAACUAAGACCAUCCGUUCCAAUCCAGUUGUGGGCGAGGAACUGGAAGGUGGUUCUGAUGACUGACGGCCAGUCGGUGGCCAAGAUGAGGCAGGAAGAGACGUCUGACCUUUGCCAAUGCCCUUUAGCUUGCAGUGAGAAAUGGGCUAACCGUGGCUCCUAGAAGGAAAACCAAGCAGACGUUUUUCAAGUUCAGUGGAGGUUGAAGAAGCAGCGUUUCCUGGGUAGAGCUGACUCACCCCCGAGGGCCCCGUCAGGGAGAGCUCCGCGGUGGGUCAUCGCACUCGGGCUGCACCCCUCCUGUGCCGAGUGGAGAGUUCUAACAGCACCUUCUGGCGGAGCCGGUUUCAACCCCACACCCCCGCCCCAUUCUCCUGGAGUAGGUGCACUAUGAGAAAUACAUCAGAGCUCAGUCUGACCGCUCACUCCCCCACCAGAAUUCCUCAGUGAACUUCCGUCUGUCUGCAUAGGCCGCCAUCAAGUGCCUUCUGCUGGCCCAGCCUAUCUUCAGUCUCAGCCAUGGUCCCUCGUCGUCUUGGUCUCUGCCCUUCAGCCCACUGUGGUUUCUGUUCGCCUGGAACUGCUCACAGCUUCUGUGCCUGUGUUCUGUCCUCCCCCUUCUGCUUAAUGUCCUCCUGGACACUCACAGCCCCACUGCACUCUGCUGGUGCAUGUCUGAGGCUCAGCUCUCAGGUGACACCUUCAGUAGACUGUCCCCGGCACCUCCCCUGCCCCCUACUUCCUAGAUAAGGGGACCUUCCUCCGGGACACUGUAUUUCUUUCUGCAUGAUCACUGCUAUAAAAACAGAAAAUUAUAAAAUGCUGCGUUAUAUGUCCACCUCACCUACUUUUUUGUGAGUUCCGGAGGGAACUAUUUCACAGCAACCAUAGCAAGAGUUUGGAAUGAGGCCAACGAAUGUCACUGGAGUGUAUGCAAAGAGCAUGGGAUAGUAUUUGGCACAGAGAACAGAAGAAUGCCCAGGAACAAAUGAGGGGUUAAAGGUCUUUCCUGACCCUGGUUCUUCUCACUGGGGAACAUCAUGCUUCCCAGGAAUCGGCUGGAUAGUGAUGAUCACUGACUUUGUAGAGGAGUAGAGGGAAAUUCUGGCCUGGCAGCUCUUGUGAAGGGUGAGCUCAUCUUGUAACAGACUUGCAGAAAGUUUUAAGCACAAAUGGCAGAAAAAUCUGUCUCCCAAAUAGCUUCUGAAGGCUCUCUCAGUAUACAGCAGACAGCUGUUACUGAUUCAAGGGGGUCCGAGUCCUAACUCCAGGCCUUCAGCGUAUGACAGUUUGAUGCCUAAUGCAUCCACUAGAGGUCAAACUUGUAAGCACAGUGUCUCCCCUAGCAAUGGUACUGAGAGCCUGGAAAACGGUUCCAUUUCCUCCGGAUUGUAGAAAAAUUGCUCUUUUCUGUGUGUGGGUUGCAUAGUAACCAACCUCCAAUCAUAGUUUGGGAAGCAGGAAUAAACUAACCCUCUUAAGGAAAGUGCUCUUCUCCUGGCCUGUGUCACUCCUCUCCUCUUACCAGAGAUGGGUGACGGUAGCAUUGGCAAUUCAGAGCCCUGCCCCUGUGUGGAACGGCUCAUAUGGGUCACCAUCUGAAAGGAGCAGCUGGACCCGAUCCUUUCUAGUACUGAUUUAAUUUUCCCUAUUUUAUUUUUAUUAUAGAGCUGUUGCAGGUUAUAAAUUUGGACAUUUUUAAAAAUUCCCUCUCCUCGUUCUUUCCUACCAGCUGCUAUUCCAGGGUAUCUGAAGUUCUGGGGUCCAUCUACUAUCUCACCCCCACUCAAAUCACAGUAUGUUAUUUGCAAACUUACUUCCUGCAAGUUUCCAUCAAGGUGUUGAUGAUCUCUGACUUUCCCUUCAAACUACGUUGUUAAUUUCUCUGACAAAAACAAAAUCCAAUAACUUUAUAGUCCUCUGAACUUGAGGAAGUCUUUUCACAAGGACCAUGGUAUCUGAUCCUUGUAAUAUGCUAAUUAGUCAGAUAGGAACAGAGUUAUUUUCCUAAAAGUAAUGAAUGUGGCUUCACUCAUUCUAUAGUGAAGGAACUCAGGUUUCAAUGCUAAGUGACUUUCUCAAGGUCAAACAGAAAGUAGCAGGAUGGAAUGAAGGUCCUGUCUUUGGAGUAUGACAGCCCUGCUCUGGCCCUCUGUGACCAAUACCAGCCAUUAAGGCAUUUUAGGAAAUGUGUUUCCAGGUGUGUUUGUCCUCAUACAUCAGUAGGAUCUCAGGAGUUCAAUCCACAGCCUCUGGGGAAGGAAAUGUUUGUAAACCCAUAAAGCUGAC